GGGAAAGGCCAUACCUCAAUGAUAGAGCAUCUGCUUUUUCUGCAGAAGGUCCCAGGUUCAAUCCCCGGAAUCCCCA
Molecule: non-coding RNA, 76 nt
Organism: Podarcis lilfordi (Lilford's wall lizard)
Lineage: Eukaryota; Metazoa; Chordata; Lepidosauria; Squamata; Lacertidae
Source: the annotation of a GenBank genome assembly